AAAUUGGUAUCCGAGCAAAGCAGAAAAGGCCCAGUGUUUUUGCUUCUUGAUUUCUCUGUCUACACUCUAGAAACGGCUCUUCAGAAGAAGACAAGUUCUGGGCACAGCUCAGGGACUUAUACUAGCUCCCUGCUCUCCUCUUCAUCAUUUCACUCCAGCUACAGUUUGCUUUCAAUAGUGUGAUUUCUCUAGCUAAAAUGCUCAAUCACUAAUCUCCCUUUCUCUAUUGAAAAUAUUCUUGCUUAUUUUCUUUCUAUAAUCUGCAAUGGAACUUGGGUAUUCUCCUAUUGUAGUUUUGAACAUACGGUGUUUGAUAAAAGGACUGUGGUGAUAUAAUUAUCGUUAGUAGAAGAUUACCAGGAAAUCAAUAUGGUCCACAAAACCCCGUGUUCAAAAU
Molecule: unclassified non-coding RNA, 397 nt
Filed under: Hevea brasiliensis (rubber tree)
Lineage: Eukaryota; Viridiplantae; Streptophyta; Magnoliopsida; Malpighiales; Euphorbiaceae
Source: RNAcentral